Molecule: ribosomal RNA, 888 nt
Filed under: uncultured bacterium
Lineage: Bacteria
Description: bacterial SSU rRNA
Rfam family: Bacterial small subunit ribosomal RNA
Source: RNAcentral
AGAACGAACGUUAGCGGCACGCUUAAUACAUGCAAGUCGAACGAGAAGCCCUUCGGGGUGGACAGUGGCGCACGGGUGAGGAACACGUAGAUAAUCUACCCUCGAGUGGUGGAUAACGUUCCGAAAGGAGCGCUAAUACAGCAUAAGACCACCAGCCUUCGGGCGAGUGGCCAAAGCGGAGGACCUCUUCGGAGGCUUGGCGCUUGAGGAUGAGUCUGCGGCCCAUCAGUUAGUUGGUAGUGUAAUGGACUACCAAGGCUAAGACGGGUAGCUGGUCUGAGAGGAUGGACAGCCACACUGGAACUGAGACACGGUCCAGACUCCUACGGGAGGCAGCAGUAGGGAAUCUUGCGCAAUGGGCGAAAGCCUGACGCAGCGAUGCCGCGUGAGCGAUGAAGGCCUUCGGGUUGUAAAGCUCUGUGGAUGGAGACGAAUAAGCGAUGGUUAAUACCCAUUGUGAUGACGGUAUCCAUUUAGCAAGCACCGGCUAACUCUGUGCCAGCAGCCGCGGUAAGACAGAGGGUGCAAACGUUGUUCGGAAUUACUGGGCGUAAAGCGCGUGUAGGCGGCUUUGUAUGUCGGAUGUGAAAUCCCGUGGCUCAACCAUGGAAGUGCAUCCGAAACUGCAAGGCUAGAGUAUCGGAGAGGAAGGUGGAAUGCUUGGUGUAGAGGUGAAAUUCGUAGAUAUCAAGCGGAACACCGGUGGCGAAGGCGGCCUUCUGGACGAUUACUGACGCUGAGACGCGAAAGCGUGGGUAGCAAACAGGAUUAGAUACCCUGGUAGUCCACGCCGUAAACGAUGAGUGCUAGGUGUCAGAGGCUUUGACCCUUUUGGUGCCGUAGUUAACGCGUUAAGCACUCCGCCUGGGGAGUACGGCCGCAAGGCUA